AUGCCUGGAAGUAUGCCUGUAUCAGUGUCCGUACAUCAAACUUGCCUUUCUUUUUCUGUGUAGUCAGGAAUCGAGAUGGCAGAAUGUGAGGUGUCUCGAGCCGUCCCCUCUUUUUGGGAGAUAGCACGAGUCCCUUUAAAUGUACGUUGAUCUCUCUU
This 158-nucleotide ribosomal RNA is filed under the name Pythium insidiosum. Its description in RNAcentral is "5.8S ribosomal RNA". Lineage: Eukaryota; Oomycota; Peronosporomycetes; Pythiales; Pythiaceae. The record is from RNAcentral.